This 1198-nucleotide ribosomal RNA is filed under the name uncultured marine diplonemid. RNAcentral's name for it is "SSU rRNA". It matches the Rfam family "Eukaryotic small subunit ribosomal RNA", at positions 570 to 1574 of the family's 1831-position model. Lineage: Eukaryota; Euglenozoa; Diplonemea. The record is from RNAcentral.
GCACCCGCGGUAAUUCCAGCACCAAUAGCGUAUAUUAAUGCUGCUGCUGUUAAAAAGCUCGUAGUUGGAUCAAGAGUCGGACAGUGCACGGUGGCCCUGUUUGUGUGGUUGGCUCCGGUCAGCCAGACGGCAGCGGAACAACCCCGUGCAUUAAACUGUCCGCUCUAACAGACCGAAGCGGUUCUCUGUGAGUAGGCUCCUUAAUUGGGGCUGAAAGCGCCUACGCAUCAACCAUAUGCAUACGAGACGUCGGUCAAUGUUACUGUGAACAAACCAGCGUGUCCAAAGCAGGCUUUCGCCUGAAUGUUCGAGCAUGGAAUAACAAGGGAUCGAUUCUCUCGGUUCUUUUUGUCGGUUUUUAACCCGAGAAGGAGUAAUUCAGGCCACGGUGUCUGAGUUGGGUUUCCCUGGGCUUCGGCUCAGGCCCCAAUUAGGCCGUGUCCUUACGGGAUCAAUAGGGACUGACGGGGUCGUACCUACUUCCGCGUCAGAGGUGAAAUUCUUAGAUCGCGGGAAGAGGAACUUCUGCGAAAGCAUUCGACAAGAAUGUCUUCAUUAAUCAAGAACGAGAGUGUGGGGAUCGAAGAUGAUCAGAUACCGUCGUAGUCCACUACUGUAAACAAUGCCGUCUCAGGAUUGAGAAGUGAACAGAAUGACUUUCACAGCACUAACCCCUGAAACGAGAAAUCAAAGAUUAUGGGUUCAGGGGGGAGUACAUUCGCAAGGCUGAAACUUAAAGGAAUUGACGGAAUGACACCACAAGGCGUGGAGUAUGCGGCUUAAUUUGACUCAACACGGGGAAUUUUACUAGGUCAGGACAAUGUAAGGAUUGACAGAUUGAGAGCUCUUUCUCGAUCCAUUGUGUGGUGGUGCAUGGCCGCUCCUGGUUGGUGGAGUGAUUUGUCUGGUUGAUUCCGUUAACGAACGAGAUCUCGACCCUUAAAUAGGUGCGCAUGUCGAUUGUAGCUUCAUUUCCGCCAGCUUGCUGGAUUGGAUUGGGGCGAGACUGUGCGAAUACUUCUUAAGGGGACUGUGUGCGUCUCUAGCACGCGGAAGAGCGAGCCAAUAGCAGGUCUGUGAUGCUCCUAAAUGUCCUAGGCUGCACGCGCACUACACUGAUGCAAUAAACGAGUCUGAGUGCCUUCUGGCAACCUACCUGGAAGCGGGUGGGAAAUCUUUUGAACUGCAUCGUGAUGAG